AGCGGCAGGCUUAACACAUGCAAGUCGAGGGGCAGCACGGGUAGCAAUACCUGGUGGCGACCGGCGCAAGGGUGCGUAACGCGUGAGCAACAUGCCCUAUACAGGGGGAUAAUCCAGGGAAACUUGGUCUAAUAUCCCAUAGUAUUUAGAGGAGGCAUCUUCUAUAAAUUAAAGCUUCGGUGGUAUAGGAUUGGCUCGCGUGACAUUAGCUAGAUGGUGAGGUAACGGCUCACCAUGGCAAUGAUGUCUAGGGGUUCUGAGAGGAAGGCCCCCCCACACUGGGACUGAGACACGGCCCAGACUCCUACGGGAGGCAGCAGUGAGGAAUAUUGGACAAUGGAUGGAAAUCUGAUCCAGCCAUGCCGCGUGCAGGAAGACAGCCCUAUGGGUUGUAAACUGCUUUUAUAUGGGAGCAAUAAGGUCUACGUGUAGACUGAUGAGAGUACCAUAUGAAUAAGCAUCGGCUAACUCCGUG
RNAcentral lists this ribosomal RNA (475 nucleotides) under uncultured bacterium. RNAcentral describes it as "bacterial SSU rRNA". It matches the Rfam family "Bacterial small subunit ribosomal RNA", at positions 39 to 507 of the family's 1533-position model. The record is from RNAcentral.